UUUGUCCUACGGGGCGCAGCAGUGAGGAAUAUUGGUCAAUGGGCUUACGCCUGAACCAGCCAAGUCGCGUGAGGGAAGACUGCCCUAUGGGUUGUAAACCUCUUUUGUCAGGGAGCAAUUGGCGCUACGUGUAGCGUUAUCGAGAGUACCUGAAGAAAAAGCAUCGGCUAACUCCGUGCCAGCAGCCGCGGUAAUACGUAGGGGGCAAGCGUUAUCCGGAUUUACUGGGUGUAAAGGGGGCGCAGACGGCGAUGCAAGCCAGGAGUGACAGCCCGGGGCCCAACCCCGGGACUGCUCUUGGAACU
Molecule: ribosomal RNA, 305 nt
Filed under: uncultured bacterium
Lineage: Bacteria
Description: bacterial SSU rRNA
Rfam family: Bacterial small subunit ribosomal RNA
Source: RNAcentral